Molecule: small nucleolar RNA, 160 nt
Filed under: Salmo salar (Atlantic salmon)
Lineage: Eukaryota; Metazoa; Chordata; Actinopteri; Salmoniformes; Salmonidae
Description: Small nucleolar RNA U3
Rfam family: Small nucleolar RNA U3
About the family: Small nucleolar RNAs (snoRNAs) are involved in the processing and modification of rRNA in the nucleolus. There are two main classes of snoRNAs: the box C/D class, and the box H/ACA class.
Source: Rfam by way of RNAcentral
AAAGUGGUAGGUCUCGCUAUCCAUGAUGACUAUUCAAGAUAUUCCCGUUCAGAGCAUGAAUCUGGUGGCUAGAAAUGACUUUGCUCAUGUUUCUUCCACCUUUGAUGAUCUUUCCUUGUUCUUCAAUGAACAUGGAUGAAGGGAAUAUGUUCUGAGUGGA